AGGGCGAUGAUGCAUAGCCCGAGUUGAGAGACUGAUCGGCCACAUUGGGACUGAGACACGGCCCAAAACUCUACGGGGAGGCAGCAGUAGGAAUUCUUCCAACAAUGGGACGCAAGUCUGAUGGAGCAACGCCGCGUGAGUGAAGUAAGGUUUUCGGAUACGUAAAAGCUCUGUUGUUGGUGAAGAAGGAUAGAGGUAGUAACUGGUCCUUUAUUUGACGGUAAUCAACCAGAAGUCACGGCUAACUACGUGCCAGCAGCCGCGGUAAU
RNAcentral lists this ribosomal RNA (269 nucleotides) under uncultured Lactobacillus sp. RNAcentral's name for it is "partial 16S ribosomal RNA". It matches the Rfam family "Bacterial small subunit ribosomal RNA", at positions 270 to 524 of the family's 1533-position model. The record is from RNAcentral. Lineage: Bacteria; Bacillati; Bacillota; Bacilli; Lactobacillales; Lactobacillaceae.